Small nucleolar RNA from Meriones unguiculatus (Mongolian gerbil), 144 nucleotides. The record is from Ensembl. NCBI's taxonomy places the organism in Eukaryota, Metazoa, Chordata, Mammalia, Rodentia, Muridae.
UACCCCUGGCAAUGGGCAAAGAGGCACUUUGUUCUUGGUGCUGUUCUUAUAUCAGUCAGGGGAAGAGCAGAUGGUAGUCCUUUGUUCAACCUAGCUUGAUGCCUUGUUUGGUGGCCAAAGUUGUUACAUGCGUAGGACACAUAA